GAUAAACGCUGGCGGCGUGCUUAACACAUGCAAGUCGAACGAAGUUUUUCCUUCGGGAGACGCUUAGUGGCGGACGGGUGAGUAACGCGUGGGUAACCUGCCCUGUACAGGGGGACAACAGCUGGAAACGGAUGCUAAUACCGCAUAAGCCCUUAGCACUGCAUGGUGCAUAGGGAAAAGGAGCAAUCCGGUACAGGAUGGAACCGCGUCUGAUUCGCCAGUUGGCAGGGUAACGGCCUACCAAAGCGACGAUCAGUAGCCGAUCUGAGAGGAUGUACGGCCACAUUGGGACUGAGACACGGCCCAGACUCCUACGGGAGGCAGCAGUGGGGAAUAUUGCACAAUGGAGGAAACUCUGAUGCAGCGACGCCGCGUGAGUGAAGAAGUAUUUCGGUAUGUAAAGCUCUAUCAGCAGGGAAGAAAAUGACGGUACCUGACUAAGAAGCACCGGCUAAAUACGUG
This 462-nucleotide ribosomal RNA is filed under the name uncultured bacterium. Its description in RNAcentral is "partial 16S ribosomal RNA". It matches the Rfam family "Bacterial small subunit ribosomal RNA", at positions 28 to 507 of the family's 1533-position model. The record is from RNAcentral.